This is a non-coding RNA of Camelina sativa (false flax), 594 nucleotides long. The record is from RefSeq and is a predicted model, not a curated record. NCBI's taxonomy places the organism in Eukaryota, Viridiplantae, Streptophyta, Magnoliopsida, Brassicales, Brassicaceae.
AAUAUGAACAGUUGAUUAAAAUAUAUCUAACGGACACGAAGUAACCCCUUUUUUUUUUUUUUCUCUACCUUCUUCUCUCUUCGUUCUAUCUCUCUCAAACUCGUUAUUUUUUCCGUCCUGUCUCAAACUCGAUUAGAAAGUAGAAACCCUCACAGGCAGAUCCGAUUUGUUUGUCUCCUUUUCACUCUCGAUCCCUCUCAGUCUGAAUUCCCCUCAGUCUCAAUCCCUUGAGGUCUUGAUUUUCAGUUUCAUACAUCUACAAAGCCCCUCUUAAUCGUCACAUGCAUCGAUCCAAAUCAAAUUAGUGAGGUCAAAAUUAAGAAUUAACACAGAAGGAAGAUUACCCUUUGUCUCUUCUAUCAUUCUCGAUCUAGAACAAAAACUAGAUUUGAUGGCUGCUCGCUUUCGUCGACUCAGAUGCAAUACUACUUACUAGAGUAGUUUCUGCAGAUAUUCAUACAAUUCACACAUCGGUAUUGUCAGUUUCAGCAAAUAUCCCAUUAAUGGUGGAAGCUUGAUGAUAGAAGAAGAAGAAGACGACGUUUUGACCUCUUUUUUUUUGUAAUCUUCUUUUUAGCUGGAGAUAAAACAAAA